GAGUUUGAUCCUGGCUCAGGAUGAACGCUGGCGGCGCGCCUAACACAUGCAAGUCGAACGGAGCUUAGAGAGCUUGCUUUUUAAGCUUAGUGGCGAACGGGUGAGUAACGCGUGAGUAACCUGCCCUAGAGUGGGGGACAACAGUUGGAAACGGCUGCUAAUACCGCAUAAGCGCACGGCAUCGCAUGAUGCAGUGUGAAAAACUCCGGUGGUAUAAGAUGGACCCGCGUUGGAUUAGCUAGUUGGUGAGGUAACGGCCCACCAAGGCGACGAUCCAUAGCCGACCUGAGAGGGUGACCGGCCACAUUGGGACUGAGACACGGCCCAAACUCCUACGGGAGACAGCAGUGGGGAAUAUUGCACAAUGGGCGAAAGCCUGAUGCAGCGACGCCGCGUGAGCGAAGAAGUAUUUCGGUAUGUAAAGCUCUAUCAGCAGGGAAGAUAAUGACGGUACCUGACUAAGAAGCACCGGCUAAAUACGUGCCAGCCACCGCGGUAAUAC
RNAcentral lists this ribosomal RNA (502 nucleotides) under uncultured bacterium. RNAcentral's name for it is "bacterial SSU rRNA". It matches the Rfam family "Bacterial small subunit ribosomal RNA", at positions 9 to 526 of the family's 1533-position model. The record is from RNAcentral.